CUAAACAAUAAUGCUGGUAGGAAAAAUAAAACAUUUCAGUGUAGCGUAGCAGCAAUAUUAUUUUGUACAAUUUCCGAGGCAGUGCUGACAUAAGCAACUAUCUCUGCUUCUUAGAAGUUUAUACUGUCUUAAAAACCAGUAACUUGUAUCUAUAGAAGUUGAAACUGGCAAUCAGAAGCAAAACACCACAUUCUAUGUAAUUACAGGAGCAAAACAAAACACGUAAAAAUGGAUCAUUGCUGAAUAUAACGCAUUAUAUGUUAAAGAAACACUACGUGCUCUAUAACUAAUACAGCUUGCUGUAGUAAUCACGGUGGCAGGAGUGCCAUGGUACCUCCCCAGAGUUAGUAGUCCAAUUAUUUGCUAAUGGUUUGAUAAUUUACUUAGGGGGGCUGGUCUCAGCCUUCUGUAGUACUGGAAGCUCCACUGAGCUAAUCCCUGCAAUGCAGGUCUGGCUGAUUGGCUGAAAUCAUAAUCUGAGUCUAACCCUGCACUUGGAGAUGGUUCAGUGCAGAGAACUUCUAGCUCCACAAGUGGAGGUGCCCAGUGGAAAGUUCCUAACUAUUUACAAACUGUUUAACUACUUAAUCUGGGAGGGUAACAGGACUCUUGAAUAACCAUAACCACUAAGCAGCCUGUUGUGGAUAUGGUGCUCUGAGUUAUUUUUAAGUACAAAUUCUCAAUAACUGGGCAAAAUGUCACAGAAAUUAUUUUGCUGUUUCACUUGCCAAAUUAGGAUGUAAACUUAAAUGUUUAUAUAAAUAAAAGUAUUGGGAAAAAAAAAAAAGGUAUUUCCAAAGAGAAAAGGGAGAAUAGUUAACACAAACACUGUACUUUAACAAGCGGUCAGGAAUCGUCAUCCAAGUGCCUGCACCACAUGUGGAGGAUUGCAUUAAUUAUAAGGAUAACAUGAUGAACCAGGAAUCAAGUGCUAGCAACUCCUAGUUAUAAUAGACCAUGCAUUGCCAUAAAUAAAAAAAUAAAAAAUAGUGGUCUGUUUCAAUUUAUAGUUUUUACUUGGACCUAAACUGCAGUUUCCAAAGCAGAAUAAAUGCAGCUACUUUCCAUUACAGCCUUGUGUUAGAAUAGUGUG
Non-coding RNA from Pelobates cultripes (western spadefoot toad), 1093 nucleotides. Lineage: Eukaryota; Metazoa; Chordata; Amphibia; Anura; Pelobatidae. The record is from the annotation of a GenBank genome assembly.